AUAAAAGUCCUAACCACAAACACAAAUCUAAUUUGACUAUAAUUUAAAAUACCAAAUAUCAAAAAGACCUAAAACAAUUAAAAUCUAGAAUAGUCUUUUUAAUCUAUUCUUAAUAGACGAAGCCUUUAUAUAUUUAUUCUAAAAUUCAUUCCCAAUCGAUAUGAGAUAUUGUCUAUAACACCCCAACAGUUAUUAUGUAGACCAGUCUUUUUACUUGAUCCUGGUCACAUGAUAAGGUGCAUAAUGUGAGCCCACUCGUGCAUGUAUUUGUUCUGAUACCAUAUAACCAUACUUAAAAACUAUCUUAGGCGUUAAGGGUUAUCUUAAGUUUAUGUAUUAAACUAGUAAUUAUUCUUGGUAUCAAAGGAUAUUUUAACUUAAAAUUCAUUCUCAAUCCAUGCGGAAUAUUGUUCUUAAGACUUCUAUCAAUGAAUUUCAUCUAUUUUGAUGAAGAUAAAUGCAUAAUAACACAAAAGUGUACGGUACGCGUUAAUAUUGAGAAUGUGUUUUUUAUAUUUUACUUUCCGUAGUCAUUUAUUUACGAUCUGUAACUUACGCGAGAAAACUCUUGGCUAGCUUUUCCUUUAAAAAUUUUGUCACUUUGGUUUACUCAGUGGAAAAAUGUUUACUACGAACAAUGAGAUUCUUGAAUCUCUUCUUCUACGUAUCUACGAUAUUUCACAUUCGCGAAACGUUUUGCUUUGAAUCAAAUUAAUGGCAUUGAAUACUUUAGACUCUAUUCGAUCUCUGAUAUUUAAACAAAAAAAAAAGGAAAAAAUCUAACAGAAAGUUUAUAGAAAUAGAGGUACCAUUUCCGCGAGUUAUUAUGUUAAUUGAAAAUAAUCAAUUGACACGAUAAUCCCACCCAAAUUUAUAACUACUUCUGUCAACGCUCUCUGUUAGCCUUAAGGUUCAUUAGUAUUUUUCUUUACUAUCUAUAUUGGCAGCAACCAUGCAUUGUCACAAGCCAACUUCUAUAAGCAUUCAAGAAUAACCCUUUCCCACUUGGGGGGAAAAAAUUGUUUGAUUAGUUACAUCGUUUCAUAAUAACUGAUCACCUUCUUUCGGUGCACUUAUGUACAGGCUAAUUAAUGAUACAAAUUAAAAUAUCAAGGUUAAUAAGUAAGCGGUGCGAUGAACAGGAAUCUUAUCCAUCACCUUAAUUUUGUGAUAUUAUUUAAAUUGAACAUUUACCCAACUUGGUGAGUGCUGGUGGGACGUGCUUUGACAUUUUUGGCACAUCCUGACUUUAAAAUUAAAUUAUCCAACUUCUUAUGAACUGGAUUGACAAACUGAGAUUAAAAUAUCUUGUGGGGUAACAUUUCGAAGCAAAAUGCCAUAAUUUAUGUUAAGAAUAUUGUUAUCGGAACAUCAAAAAUAAAAAUAUAUGUAGUGUAUUAUAUAGUAAUCUGGAUAAGGUGAUUGUUGGUGACUGUGGGGUUGAUAUAUAGAUUGUUAUUUUUCCUUAUUAACACAGAAUAAAAAUGUUUCAAUUCGAAAAAAGAAAGUAAAAAAAAAAAAAUUCAUUAUGCUGUCUCUUACUAUAUGAAAUCAUAAUUGGUCUCUGUCUUACUUUUCAGUGAUGUAUAGAUUGUUAUUUUUCCUUAUUAAUACAGAAUAGACGGGUUUCUUGAAUUCGAAAAAGAAAGUAAAAAUAAAUAAAUAAAUCAUUAUGCUGUCUCUUACUAUAUGACAUCAUAAUUGGUAGUCUCUGUCUUACUUUUCAGUCGACAUGAAAUUUAUCUUUCAAGAAAUUGAAUAUUUUUUUUGAAGUUUUUGAAUUUUGAAUCCAUCUACAUAUUUUUUAUUGAAUCUGUUAGUAAAGUCUGACAAUUAAGUUACUACAUAAUUUUUCACGACGUCCCAUUAAAUCAAAUACUUGUUUUAUUGCAACUUGUGCAUGUGCAUGUGCAUGUGCUUUAGUAGUACAUGAAAGUUUCUAACUUAUAUAGAUAUUUUGUGAGAAAAUGACCUCCUUGAUCUUUUUAUGUGUUGAUUAUGGUGGAUAUUUAUGAUCCUUUUACCAGUCACAAAGAUUAAAAUUACAUCUCUCUAUCCAUCUCUUUCUCUUGACUCCAAGCGACUUGUUCUUUUCUUUUUUUCAUUUUUUUCAUGCUUUUACUCUCUGUCCUUCCAAUUCAUGUGAAAGAAUACUCAAAUUUUGUGGUGGUUAUCAUUUUCAACAGAUAAGCCAUUUUGUUGUCAGAGCUAACUUAAACGGUGUAGAUCGAUGUAAAGAGUUGAAGAGAAUUUUCCUAGUGCAUAAAAUUAUUGUGUGCACAUUAUCUCGUGAAUUUUUUUUUUCUCACUAAUCAUCCGUAUAAAAUGGCUUGACAUUUAAAAAAGAUUUUACUUGAGACAUUAAAUUAAUUAGAAUUCAAUUGUUGAAAUCUUUAAUAUUUUAACAAAAGGAAAAUGUCAGUUGAUCUCAAUCCUCGUAAUACUGACAGUUACAAAUUAAAAAUGAUAGUCUUAAUAUCUAAGCAGUUUGAUGAACAUGACUCCUAACCCAUCACCUUAAUUUGUGACAUUGAUUAAAUAAUUAGAAGAUUAAUUCAACUUGGUGAGUGCUGGUGGGUGGUUUGACACAUACUUUGCCUUUAAAUUAGCCAACUUGUUGUGAAUUGGAUUGACACAGUAAAGUAGAGAUGAAAAUCUAUAGUAGGUAACUCUUCACUUUUCAGGGCAAAAAGUUAAAUUUUAUUUUAUUUUAAUGUUAAGAUUGUUAUGAAAGCUUCAAAAAGUAUAUGAAUUGAAUAAUAUAAUUAAUCUAGAUAAGGUAAUUGGUGAUGAAUGUGGGGUUAAUUGAUUGAUUUUGCACUAAUUAUAUUUUGAAACAUUUUAUUUUAUUUUUUUUUAACAGUCAUUAUGUUGUCUCCUACAUUGUCUUUUCAAUGCUUUUGAUAUUUUACAAAACUUUUUGGUUUUACAUAUUUCUUUUCUUU
This 2945-nucleotide long non-coding RNA is filed under the name Citrus x clementina. RNAcentral describes it as "Citrus clementina (C. clementina) long non-coding RNA (CCLE_LNC003393)". Lineage: Eukaryota; Viridiplantae; Streptophyta; Magnoliopsida; Sapindales; Rutaceae. The record is from RNAcentral.